This 104-nucleotide ribosomal RNA is filed under the name uncultured bacterium. Its description in RNAcentral is "partial 16S ribosomal RNA". It matches the Rfam family "Bacterial small subunit ribosomal RNA", at positions 1379 to 1482 of the family's 1533-position model. The record is from RNAcentral.
CCUUGUACACACCGCCCGUCACACCAAGAAAGUUGGUAACACCCGAAGCCAGUGGCCUAACCGCAAGGAGGGAGCUGUCGAAGGUGGGAUCAGCGAUUGGGGUG